RNAcentral lists this long non-coding RNA (1010 nucleotides) under Pogona vitticeps (central bearded dragon). RNAcentral's name for it is "lncRNA (ENSPVIG00000010099.1)". Lineage: Eukaryota; Metazoa; Chordata; Lepidosauria; Squamata; Agamidae. The record is from RNAcentral.
UUGAGCUGGAAGGGGGAUCCUGGCCAUCAUUCUAGACAGCUGCCAUGGGUGCUGUAAAAAUUCAGGCUGCCCUCUGCUAGGUAAAGCUUGGCGUCCUUUCUCCUGCUGGCAACUCGGGCACCCUAUUGUGCCGCCAUUUUGGGCCCUUUCCUGGCUUUUUGAAUCAUGAACUCAGAAGCUCAAUACCCCACAUUCAUAAACCAGUAUGUAUAUGUUUUGGAAGAACUGAACAUUAUCUUUUAAGGAUGUUCAGUUGCCUUGACUCCUUUUUUAAGGAGAAAGGCAGGUUAACCAUUAGAGUGUUUCUUAAACUUGGGUUACUCAGGUGUUUUUGAACUGCAACUCCCAGAAACCCCAGCCAGCACAGCUGGUGGUGAAGGCUUCUGGGAGUUGCAGUCCAAAACACCUGAGUAACCCAAGGUUAAGAACCACUGCUUUAAAAGACAGAUAAAUCUAUAUAUACAAAUAAGCAUAUUUUGUGCUUGUGCUUAACCACGGCUUGUUGUCAGCGGUAUCAGAGAUCCAGAGAAGGGAGAUAUUCAUUUUUCAUGCAUCUAUGAAUAGGGAGAUCACUAACAUACAAGGUUAGUGCUUUCCCUUUGGUUAACCUACUUGGCCGGCUCAGGUUGGCAGUGUUCUGUGAUCUCACAAACCUUGGCCAGGCCAUCUUCUGACAACAGCAUUACUCAGGAGGAGGGGGACCAAGGCUCACUCUGUUGAGAGACAGCCAGCGUGAAGGAAUCACAGAGUUGAUCCUGCGAUCCGUCCCUAUUUUUCCAUCAGAAAAUGCUGUGUCUCACCGUGUUCAUUGCUCACCUACUCGAGAGAUGGACAAGCAGACCAUAUCCUGAUCUGGACGAUCCUCCCGAGGAGGAAGAAAAAGAAUUUGGCCUGGCUACAGAUCAAAGGAGGAGGAGGAGCAGGAGGAAGGAGGAGGAGAAAGAGGAAAAGCAGCACUGAUGGCAUUAGAGAACAAAUUGAUCACUUCUGGUAGAUUUGUUGAUGAAACC